UGGAUUCUCUUCUUUUCAGAACAGCCUUGC
RNAcentral lists this non-coding RNA (30 nucleotides) under Mus musculus (house mouse). Lineage: Eukaryota; Metazoa; Chordata; Mammalia; Rodentia; Muridae. The record is from RNAcentral.